Molecule: long non-coding RNA, 1578 nt
Organism: Helianthus annuus (common sunflower)
Lineage: Eukaryota; Viridiplantae; Streptophyta; Magnoliopsida; Asterales; Asteraceae
Exons: 3
Source: RefSeq, a predicted model, not a curated record
UACAGGCUACAAGCAAAUGUUCUCCUCCAUCUCCGAUCUCUUUUCUCUACAAGCAAAUCUGAACCAAGUGAAUAAUUAUGCCGAUGGUGAUUUCGUUGUGUCUAUGGAGAUUAUGAAAUUGAUUCUGAAUUGAGUAUUGCGUGAAGUAUACCAGUAAGCAUCUAGGGUUUUUCUUCCUUUGCUCGAUUGUUAUCCGCGUUGCUGAGAAGAGAUUAAGCAAAGUCCACGUUGCAGACCGCAACCGCCACCGGUCAUUCCAUCUGACGAGGAUCCCGCCAUCUCCUUUGUUCGGUUCACCGGCGAGAUGUCCAGAAGCCGAUCUGCCACUUCUGAUUCAAAUCAGAGAAGACGAGUAUGUCGUGGCAACCAACUUGCUCGCAGCAAAGAGGUCAUGUCUUUAUAUAUCAUUGAUCUUUUGAUUGUUCUUGUUGUUUGGAAGUGAAGCAAGAAUGGCAAGAACUAAACAACCCAAAGUUGCCACUGAAGAAGCUAAGAACUGUUUGAAGACGACGAUGAGUUUAGAAAGUUUAAACUCGAUGAUGUUUUGUUUGUAGGGGGUGUUUGGAUACACAUAUUCAAGGUGGCAGAUGCAUUGAAGGAACGGGGGAUUGAUUUGAGUAGAAAUGUAAUUGGGGUUCUUAAGAGUGGGGCUGCAAUAAAUUUCUGGAAGGAUUGCUGGAUCGGGUCUGACCCACUAGAAUUAUAAUUUCCAGCUUUGUAUGAGAUAGAAAGUUCUAAAAUGUGUUGUAUUGCUGAAGGUUGAAAUGGAUCCUAGAUGGAAUAACCUGGUCAUGGAGUUGGAAAAGGUAGCCAAACAUGAUAGCAGAAUUUAGAGAAUUUACCCAAAUUGUAAUGUUGUGUUAGAAAGUAGUGUUUGGGGUAGGGGAAGAUAGGUAGCAAUGGGCGAUAGAUAUAACGAGGGGUUCACGAUCAAAAGUUUGAAGGGCAUAAUUCAGGAGUUGUGUUGGGAAGUUCAUGCACAGGUCUAUGCAUGGAAUAAGUGGGUUCCAAAAGGAAGUUGAUGUGCUCGGGUGGCAAGCGAGAUCGGACCUGCUCCCAACACUUGCGACCCUAGCUAAAAGAAAAUUAUUAUUUCCAUCAAUUUGUGUCUGAUAUGUGGGGUAUAUGAAGAAACAACGUAACAUGUGUUUGUACCAUGUGCGUGGGCGCAAUCGGUAUGGCAAAUUGUUUCAUAAUGGUGCAAGAUACUUGCAUUUUUUGCCUUUCAUGUGAAAAACUUGCUGGGAAUGCAUAGAUACAUUAAUGUGUCCACGAAAAGAUCAGCCAUGCUAAAAAUUCGGUCACGAUGUGGGUUUUGUGGAAGAACCGGAAUGAGCGGGUGUUUAAUGAGAGGAUGUCGUCAUUGCAAAAAAUUGUGGAAGAGAUCAAAGUCCUUCUAUGGAUCCGAAACACGUCAAGAAUGGUUACUCUAACCUGGGUUGUAUGUUGUAACAUUGAUGCAUAUAAUGAUGUACAUAGGUGAAUGACUUUACCUUUUUGCUUUCCCUGUUUUGAAUAAAAUACUUUGUUGGCGAUUGUAUACCCGGAUUUUUAAUUUAUAUUUUUAUUUUCCAUUAA